AAAGGGCGCGUAGGCGGAUAGUUUAGUCAGAGGUGAAAGCCCAGGGCUCAACCUUGGAAUUGCCUUUGAUACUGGCUAUCUUGAGUUCGGGAGAGGUGAGUGGAAUGCCGAGUGUAGAGGUGAAAUUCGUAGAUAUUCGGCGGAACACCAGUGGCGAAGGCGACUCACUGGCCCGAUACUGACGCUGAGGCGCGAAAGCGUGGGGAGCAAACAGGAUUAGAUACCCUAGU
This 230-nucleotide ribosomal RNA is filed under the name uncultured bacterium. Its description in RNAcentral is "partial 16S ribosomal RNA". It matches the Rfam family "Bacterial small subunit ribosomal RNA", at positions 562 to 791 of the family's 1533-position model. The record is from RNAcentral.